Molecule: ribosomal RNA, 254 nt
Filed under: uncultured bacterium
Lineage: Bacteria
Description: partial 16S ribosomal RNA
Rfam family: Bacterial small subunit ribosomal RNA
Source: RNAcentral
UACAGAGGUCUCAACCGUUGUUCGGAUUCAUUGGGCGUAAAGGGUGCGUAGGUGGCGCCGUAAGUCAGGUGUGAAAUUUCGGAGCUUAACUCCGAAACUGCAUUUGAUACUGCGGUGCUUGAGGACUGGAGAGGAGACUGGAAUUCACGGUGUAGCAGUGAAAUGCGUAGAUAUCGUGAGGAAGACCAGUGGCGAAGGCGGGUCUCUGGACAGUUCCUGACACUGAGGCACGAAGGCCAGGGGAGCAAACGGGG